RNAcentral lists this long non-coding RNA (3537 nucleotides) under Sus scrofa (pig). Its description in RNAcentral is "lncRNA (ENSSSCG00000061282.1)". The record is from RNAcentral. Lineage: Eukaryota; Metazoa; Chordata; Mammalia; Artiodactyla; Suidae.
AGGUCGCAGACGCAGCUCAGAUCCAGUGUGGCUGUGGCUGUGACAUGGGCCGCUGCUGCAGCUCGGAUUUGACCCCUCGCUCAGGAAUUUUCAUAUGCUCGAGGUGCGGCCAUGAAAAGAAAGAAGAAGAAGAAAUGAGAUCUCUCCAGCAAGUGAGCAAGGGAAGCCGUUGUUUGUUUGCAGCAGGGGCCCCAGGAAAGCCUUGCCGGAAAUAAAAGGAAAAGAAUAAAUGAGAUGCUACAGAUAAAGCACAGUGGGCAGGAAAUGCCUAAUAUACCGUAGUUGUUCUUACCUCCAGCUGAGUCACUGGGUGAUCCAGAGUUGGCUGAAGGACUUGACCGCCACAGACCUGUUUUCUCAUCUGUAAAAUGGGCCCAGCAAGAAAUGCAACCCCCUGAAGGGUCGUCGUGAAGAUGAGGGGUAAUCUAUGCAGAGUCCCAGGGAGUCGUCAAUAAACGCAGUCUAGGAUUACAGCUUUCCGUUACAUCUUUAGGCAGACGUUGAUUCUCUCCCUUGAAGAGUGUAAGAUGCUGGCAGAAGGCUUUGCACCUUGCAGGUCCGUUAUAUAGGCGAGAAGUCAGCUAAUUUCUUGUUGCCAGGUUGGAAGGACUCACAAACAAUAGCCCGGAUAGGGUGACUUCUUAGCAUUCCAGGCCAGAUCCAAGAAUCUCAAGCCAAAAUUUUGUCCAGCCUUAACACAGGUCUCCUUGAAUGAGAACUUGGUGAUGUGAAGUGUUUAAGAGACAAAGCAGCUCCGGGACCCACAUUCCAUAGGCAGCCCAGUCUCAAAAGGCAAUAAGUGACUUAGACCCCCCCCCCCCCCCCCCCCGCCCAAGCCCUCUCCGCUUGCUAGAUGCAGCAGGGAUUUGAACCUAGGUCUGUUAGACUCUAGUGCCUGGCUUCUCGACCAGCUAUUGGCUUAUGAGAGAAGUUAGAGCAGAAACCCAGCAAAAAACACCAGGGUCUGCCAGGGGCUGUUCACAGACACUGGGACCUGCCCGAUCUCUUCUGCCAAGAGCCUCCUGCUACCAUCUCCACGAUGGCCUCAGAGGUAAAGCAUCAUUCUCUAAUUUGCACACAAAAUGGAUUUUAGUACCUGGAUUUUAUUGAGAAACCGACUCCCUCGUCCCCCAUCCCCAGCACUGGAAAACAUAUUGUCUUCUUUACUGUAGUUCAUUUUGCCUUCCGAGGUGAUUAAUGAAUUAAAGAUGCAGUGUAUUUAUUCUUUUGCCUGAUUACCAUUCUGUAAUAAAUCUAAGCUCUGGAGUCUGUCGAUACGGGAAGACCAAGCUGCCUCUUUGGAAAAUAAAGGUUUGUACGUGAAGCUUAACUUCCAGCUCUCAGAUGCAGGAGAAAAUUCACCUUUGGAGCCUUGGAAAAAAUUAAGGGGGACCCUCAAAUGAGAUACUGGCUGGCAGCUAGAAGAUUCCAGUUCUGCGAAUGAGAUGGCAGGCCUUUUGCUCCCCUCCCCCACUACUCCAGGGUGUGGGAAGACCCACUGACCUGUAGAUGGGGUUUUUACAGCAGGCAUCCUGACUGCGAGGCCCUUCCUGGAGGUGACGGUGGGGAGAGAGGUGGCCCGCCCGACGUUCUCGCCCCAGAUCUGCAUGAUUUUAUUGUCCACGUAAAACAGUGGCCACUGGGAUGGUGUCUAAUCUCUGGCUGGGUGGCCGUGAUGGUCAGUCAAUGGAAUGCGUGGGCGUGAGGUUACUGGUUUCCAGGGGAACCCGGGGGGAGGGGGGGCAGGAGAGCAGGGUGCCUAAGAGCACUGCCGGCGACGUCCCCGAAUGUCCAGCUCUGCCUUGUCACUUCCUGGCUGUGUGACUCUGGGCCAAUCUGGUUUCCUCAUCCAUCCAGUGGGGCCCCCUUCCUCUCUUCCUCCACCCGCCAGGGCUGGUGGGGCCUGGGCUUGCUCGCAGCACCUGCAGAGGAUGAGGCUACGCUUUGCCUUUGGAAGAUCCGACCUCCAGUGGCCCUCGGCCAGUCUGACCUGUGCCGGGGCAGGAAGCCCACAAAGAGAAACAAAAUGAGACCAGAUUGAUAAUAUCAUUGGCCAUUUGCUUUUAUUUGUAUUUUAUUUUAUUUUGUUUGACUGUUGUAUUUUAUUUUUUGCUUCUCUAGUCGCAUCUGUGGCAUAUGGAAGUUCCCAGGCUAGGGGUCGAAUCGGAGCUACAGCUGCCGGCCUACACCGCAGCCCCAGCAACUCGGGAUCUGAGCUUCGUCUGCCACCUACACCACAGCUCACAGCAGCGCUGGAGCCUUAACCCACUGAGCAAGGCCAGGGAUCAAACCCAGAUCCUCAUGGAUUCUAGUCGGAUUCGUUUCUGCUGCCCCCUGAUGAAAACUCCGUAUUUGUUUAUUUUAAAACGAGCAAACGAGAGUGAAAACAAACAAAAAGCCAGUGGCUUAUAUGGGUUCAUUUCUCAGCUGCUGCUGACCGGACAGAAUAUAUAAUAUAUAUGUUUUUCAUGUAUAUGUGUAUAUAAUUUGUUAUAUACGUAUUUUAUAUGUAUAAUUCAUAACAAAGUCGUAAUCAAAAAUCAGAUCAAAUGAGUCCCCUUUCUAGCUAACCCUGGCAUUUUUGAUGGUAGGCAGCCUUCCUUUAUAGGCGGUUUUCCAUCCCGUGACAGGCCAAGGCUUACCUUCAAGGACCCUAUAACAUCCCCUAGAAAGGGACUCGAAAUUAUCUCCACAUCCUUUUUGUCUGGAAAGAGCAUCCCUACACUCAGGAAGGCCUCGGAGGGUCCAAGAGCCAAAGAGACUUUGGAAACCCAAGUCCGGGUCCCAAAGGCCUUCCCCUCACUGUGAGCUUCCCGGGCCGGGGCUCCCGUGCACGCUGUGCCCUGCUCAGAGGGGCGGGUGGCUGGGCAGCUGUGCGAGCAGAGGGCCCGGGGCCUCACCCACACGCCACACGUGUCUGGUUGGCGAGAGGUCUCCAGGGGCUCUUGUGCACGAAGCCCUGAGCCGCCUCCUUAACUGAGCUGCUGCUUCCUGGGCGCCCACCUGCCCGUCUGCACACCUUUCCUGACCAGCCCAGGCCCCUUGCUCCCCCUGCCCCCCGCCCCAGUGCCCCCAGCUCCAUGAGAAAGCUGACACGUUGAAAUCUCACUCCAGCCCAGACGUUCCCAGACACUCAGCUGUAUCAUUUUCAAGUGCGGCCGCAGGAUGGGUUCAAAGCUCUUUCUGCUCCCCCUUUUUUUCCCCAGGACACCUCUCUUGGACCUCAUCCUGCUGGGGACCAAUGCCUCCCUUGCUUCCCCCAAGUUCCUCCCUCCUUCACUGCUGUCACUAGAACCCGAGCAUUCUGAGUAACAGAUACAAGAACGCUGUGCCAGCAUGACCAGCAUGCUUCCUAAGACCAAGAGACACUGCUUCCCCUCUUUCUCCCAGGAACAAUACAACUGCAAAGGUGGAGAGGAGAGAGGCUGCCCGGCAAGGCUGCGCAUUUAAUUAUGCAGUGAAAGCCUCUUAGUGGGAAGUCCCAGGAGGCCUGAGGAAGUGGCAGUGGCAGGAGGGGGAGGGGAGCUGCGCAGAGCA